Molecule: ribosomal RNA, 392 nt
Filed under: uncultured bacterium
Lineage: Bacteria
Description: partial 16S ribosomal RNA
Rfam family: Bacterial small subunit ribosomal RNA
Source: RNAcentral
AUACGGAGGAUCCGAGCGUUAUCCGGAUUUAUUGGGUUUAAAGGGUGCGCAGGCGGCCAUUUAAGUCAGCGGUUAAAUCGUGGGGCUCAACCCCAUUCUGCCGUUGAUACUGGGUGGCUUGAUUGCGGUCGAGGUUGGCGGAAUUCGUUGUGUAGCGGUGAAAUGCAUAGAUAUGACGAAGAACACCGAUUGCGUAGGCAGCUGACCAGACCGUAAAUGACGCUCAUGCACGAAAGUGCGGGGAUCGAACAGGAUUAGAUACCCUGGUAGUCCGCACAGUAAACGAUGAAUACUUGUUUUCGGCGAUAUAAUGUCGGAGGCAAAGCGAAAGCGAUAAGCCAUCCACCUGGGGAGCACGACCGCAAGGUUGAAACUCAAAGGAAUUGACGGGG